UACGAAGGGGGGCUAGCGUUGCUCGGAAUGACUGGGCGUAAAGGGCGCGUAGGCGGAUGGCACAGUCAGAUGUGAAAUUCCCGGGCUUAACCUGGGGGCUGCAUUUGAUACGUGUUGUCUUGAGUUCGGAAGAGGGUCGUGGAAUUCCCCAGUGUAGAGGUGAAAUUCGUAGAUAUUGGGAAGAACACCGGUGGCGAAGGCGGCGACCUGGUCCGACACUGACGCUGAGGCGCGAAAGCGUGGGGAGCAAACAGG
RNAcentral lists this ribosomal RNA (255 nucleotides) under uncultured bacterium. Its description in RNAcentral is "partial 16S ribosomal RNA". It matches the Rfam family "Bacterial small subunit ribosomal RNA", at positions 524 to 776 of the family's 1533-position model. The record is from RNAcentral.